CGUGUGUAUAGUAGACUUCCAGCGGGCUGUGCCGGCUAGCGCACACACAUGGGCUCUGAAGGAUAGUGUGUGUGUGUGAGCCAUGUUGGAUGAACGGGAGCGGGGAUCGAACACUCGGACCUCCACGGAGCACAGCGGGUAGAUGCGAACUCUCCAGGCCGGUGGAGACACGGGGGAUCCUGGGGGACGCCUUAGCGGAGAGAAGGAGCAGAGAGAGGGGAGAGAAGAGGAGAGAAAGGAGGGGAGACUAAAUGGCUGCACUGCUACCGGGCUUCACCCCGAUCCUCCUGCUCCUGCUCCCAUCUCUGGUUCUCCUCCACCUCCACCUCUCCGGCCCUUUGUUCGCCCUUAGCCCGGGGACGGUGCACACCGGAGGGGCUGCUUCCCACACAUGGACCCGGGGCCUCUGCGACCAACAAGCCGGUAAAGUGAUCCUCCAGCAUCGGGCAGAGGCAGGGCUCAGCUGGGACAGAUGCCCGAGCAGGUGCACCUCAGAGCGGGUAGAAGCUGAGGGAUGCCCCGGAGGAGGAGGAGCGGAGACGGGGCGGAUGGAGGAGAGGAAGGGCGUUGUUCCAGCCCUGCUUUCACCUGAUCUCACCCCACUACCACCACCACUCCUCCACCACCACCACCACCUCCACACCAGGCCAGUACAAAGGAGGCGGCCACACCUCGUUCAACAACGCGCUGCCUCCGGAGCUCCUGUGCACGGCCUGGUGCACGCACCCGGAAGAGUUGGGGGGAGAUGUGAGGGUGAGGUGAUGGGGGGUUUAACCCCACAGUGUUCUCCAGGACCCUCUCCAGACAGCGCGCCCUCACCUGGCCCCUCCACCCUCCUCCCCCUCCCUCCUCCACAUCACCCCAUCAGCCCCAAUCUCAUUUUCACCGAUGAUUCAGCCCAAGUCAGGACAUUACAAUUGGAUUACAUUCGUCAUUUUUCAGCGUGUAAUCCUGCAGAUGAAAUCCUCCAUCCAUGUGUUUACAGCAGGGAGGAGCAGGUUGGUGGGCACAGGGGGGCUGCUGCUAAUUGUUCUCAUUUGGGCAUGCACAAUGUUAUCCAUUCCUGCAGAGUGGGUGGUGAUGAUAGCAAGCAGGCCAGUGGCAUUAUGAGAGGGGGGGAUACUGGGGCACCCGCUGUAAUUACGCACAUCGGCUCUGGGUUUCCAGCCUUUAGUGAUGCCAGAAUAUGGGGUGAGGAGAGGGGUGAGGUAGAGGAUGGCAGAGGGGAGGGAGGGCUAAACUGUGCUAACAACCACAUUAAUACACCUAAUUACUCAGAUCAAAAUGUGGCUUUUCUGAUUCUCACACAUCCACAGCGGAGAAAAGCUGACCUGGCAACCCAGGGUCAUGGCUGUCAAACCCAAGCAGGGCCCAGGGAGGGUCCUGGUGGGGGCUGCUUUGGUUUAGUGGGAGGUGGAUGUUUUUCUGAUUUUAAUAACUCAGAAAAAAGCAGAGCUCAGAUGAAUUCAUUGCAUUCUGACUUCACUGAAGCACAACGUGUUGAUGAUGAAAUCAUUUCAGGUUAUUACAGCUCAAUGCUUUACAAACAUGUUCUAACAGAGAGAGUAAACCCUCAGCUGACUGUUUCUGCUCAGAAAGUGAGAGCAUCUUCUAACACAGCCUGUGACUCAGGCGUUUUCCCGCCUGUUGAACUUCCUGUCACAGCGACUCGCUCUCAAACAUUGAGCGAGCCUCUCACGCAGCUUUUUCACCAUUCAGGGAAACACCUCAACUUCUCCUCUGACAAUAAUCAGACCACAUGGCAGCAUGACCAUAAGCUUUCUGCAGAGGUUGUGAUUUCAGAACACUGGACAGCUCGUGGUCAGCCUGUGUAUCUGUGGAGCACAUUUAACAAUAACAAUAACAACAAUAGAGAGACAAAAGAUGGAGAUCAUGGCAACCAGAGCAAAGCUGAUGAAUCACAGUGGUUUGAUCAGCCAGAGGUGGUGCGUGCUGUUAGCAGUGACAGUGUUUCCACGGAACAUGACGACCACACUCAUGUAGAAUUAAAAUCCAGGAAGCAAGUUCCGUUACGGCCUCAAGGUCUCACACAGCAGAUGGAGGCUGGGGGUGAAAGCGAGAGGGAGGAACCAGACCUAGAGGGGUCUGGUGAUGUUGCCGUUUGGGGAGGAAAAUUACAGGUGGG
Molecule: long non-coding RNA, 2146 nt
Filed under: Gouania willdenowi (blunt-snouted clingfish)
Lineage: Eukaryota; Metazoa; Chordata; Actinopteri; Blenniiformes; Gobiesocidae
Description: lncRNA (ENSGWIG00000002430.1)
Source: RNAcentral